Non-coding RNA from Oryctolagus cuniculus (rabbit), 732 nucleotides. The record is from RefSeq and is a predicted model, not a curated record. Lineage: Eukaryota; Metazoa; Chordata; Mammalia; Lagomorpha; Leporidae.
CACGUCAGUAGGGCAGAACAGCACCGGGCUACGAGGAAGUGAGCUGGAACCCCGUAUCAAGAAUGUGGUCACAAGAGGACCAGGGACAAUACCUGGCUGUGGAGCCAAGUGGCCACUUGCAAAGACACCAGAGGCUCACAGAGGGGCAGUUCACAGGUCAUCAGAUAGAGAAAAAUCACACACGGAGAAGAGUGUACCUGAGGUGCACAUCUGAGUGGCCUAUGUGCACCUGGACCUGAUUUAGAUGAUGAGAUCCUGGUCCUUGAACCUGAUGCUGUAAAGGUGAGAAAAGGAGGACUCAGAGACUCACUCAAAGAAGUGUUCCCAAAGUCACACAGGUGGUGACAAGUGGAGAUGAGACCUAAGUGUGUCUGGCUUUAAAGCCUGUGCUCUAGCCACAAAGAGGAACCAAAGGCCUGCGGGUAAACUGGAAGGCCUACGUGUAACUGAAGGAGUAAGAGAAAGAAAAAGCCUGAGACAAAUGCUAAGGACAUCAAGUACAGGAUAGGAUGAGAAUGACUGCUUUCAAGAAGGUUGGAAAGAGAACUUUGGUGACUAUGUUCAAGACCUCCUGAGGAAGCAGAGCAGAGCUUGGAGUUGGUGACACUGAAGCGACAGCAUACCUUAUGGAAAAUCCUGAUGGGAGCCAUCUCUGCUCCAUUUAGUGUCUUCAAAAGGAACAUGGGCCAAGAGGAAGCAUUCAAUCGAAAUCCUACAGCAAAUAUAAUGGGC